This 512-nucleotide ribosomal RNA is filed under the name uncultured bacterium. RNAcentral's name for it is "partial 16S ribosomal RNA". It matches the Rfam family "Bacterial small subunit ribosomal RNA", at positions 28 to 507 of the family's 1533-position model. The record is from RNAcentral.
GAUGAACGCUGGCGGCGUGCCUAAUACAUGCAAGUCGAACGAAACUUCUUUAUCACCGAGUGCUUGCACUCACCGAUAAAGAGUUGAGUGGCGAACGGGUGAGUAACACGUGGGCAACCUGCCCAAAAGAGGGGGAUAACACUUGGAAACAGGUGCUAAUACCGCAUAACCAUAGUUACCGCAUGGUAACUAUGUAAAAGGUGGCUAUACUACCGCUUUUGGAUGGGCCCGCGGCGCAUUAGCUAGUUGGUAGGGUAAAGGCUUACCAAGGCAAUGAUGCGUAGCCGAAUUGAGAGGUUGAUCGGCCACAUUGGGACUGAGACACGGCCCAAACUCCUACGGGAGGCAGCAGUAGGGAAUCUUCCACAAAGGGCGAAAGCCUGAUGGAGCAACGCCGCGUGGGUGAAGAAGGUCUUCGGAUCGUAAAACCCUGUUGUUAGAGAAGAAAGUGCGUGAGAGUAACUGUUCACGUUUCGACGGUAUCUAACCAGAAAGCCACUGCUAACUACGUG